Molecule: long non-coding RNA, 4895 nt
Filed under: Podarcis lilfordi (Lilford's wall lizard)
Lineage: Eukaryota; Metazoa; Chordata; Lepidosauria; Squamata; Lacertidae
Source: RNAcentral
AAGCAGAAUGUUAUCAGCUGCACCUGGCAAUCAGAAGAGUCCCUCAUGGCCUGUUAAGAAACUUCAGAGCAUAGGCUGCAGUUCUCAAUAUCUGUUUACCAAUCCAGUACUGUAUAUGUAUUUUCACGUGGGCCAACCACAUGCAUGCAUUUGCAAUACCUUGCUCUUCUGAAUCGGUAUCGAUCAAUCAGUUUGUUCCCUCGCUUUUAGAGCAAACAGGCUACCAAACCAGCAACGGUGAGUCUAUUUAUUUUCUCAUAUAUAUAUUAUAUGUAGGUUUUAUUUUCUACAGCGGAGUGGAGAAGGAAAGAGACUGAAAGGUUAGGAAAGCCUGAGGCAAGGAUAUUCCCUUUGUUCUCCAUGCGUGCAACCUUAGAAGAAGAUGCAAAAAGUAAGCAACCAAGUAUUAUUUGUAAAAGGGGCUGGGAAUGGUUCUGUUAGUUUUCUGCAGAAAGAGUAUGUCUCUUUGUGUGUAAGUAACUGGAGUAUGGUCAAUCUUUCCAGCAUGGAGCUGUGUAAUCAAUAGUAAUGUUUCUCAGAAUGUAGGCCAAGACUGUAGGCCAAGCCCCUUUCAGGUAGGCCACAGUGCCUGCCCCAACCCUUACCUGGGCCUCAGAUUUUUGAUGCUCCACUGUCAACACCACAAGUCUUAGCUGAGCAAAGGUGGCCAGGAAACGGAGAAGUUUCAGUAGGGAUGUUGGAAAGAAAGGUUUCCCUCCUUUGAAGCAAAAGGGCCACAGGAAAGGUUGAAGGAAAGUAAAAACCGAGCUAUAAAUUUAAUGAACUAUUUUGUUGGUUAAACUCGGAAUAGAAAAUAAAAAUAAGAGAAAUAAUGUGUUGUAGGAGGAAGUGAAUGUGAAUGUUGCAAGGUGACUGUGAAAAGAGAACUGGAGAAGAAUGCUUUGUGAUACAUGCAGGAUUGGGAAGAGAACAAGGGAAAGCAAAUUUUAGAAUUAGUGGAUCAGCUGUGCAAAAGGGAGAGGCUGACUUAUAUUGCCUCCCCUGUAGUUGAACUAUGGAGCAACUUGCCGGAAGGAAAAGGCUUUGGCCGUCUGCAACAAUGGAUUGAAUAUCAGUAGAAAGUUAUAUUAGUAAUCAUCUGUUGAUUAUGUGGGAUGCUUGUCUGCAUCUGCCACCAUUUUGUGACUUCUGGCCCUCAGUAAUUUUCAGCUCUCUUAAAUGGGCCCUGUGGGUAGAAAGUUUGAGACCCAUAACAAGAGUUUGUAUGCAUAGGGACUGCGUUUCUUUGGGUGUUGUGAGCUUUAUACCUUUCUUCUUAGUUUCUCUGACAUGUGAAAAACAACCACUACCACCAGCUAAUGAAGGCUGCAUUUCAGUGUUUUGAAUUUAAUCCCCUGCAUAUUUACUUUGAACAAAGCUCAGUGUGUUCAAUAGCCCUCACUCCAAAAAGUGGUGUGUGUGUGUUUUAUACCCAGACCACACUAAGGAUUCGGCUACAUUGGCAAAGAAAAAGCACUUUAUAUGCAUUGAAUAAUAAGGGACGCGGGUGGCGCUGUGGGUAAAACCUCAGCGCCUAGGACUUGCCGAUCGCAUGGUCGGCGGUUCGAAUCCCCGCGGUGGGGUGCGUUCCCAUUGUUUGGUCCCAGCGCCUUCCAACCUAGCAGUUUGAAAGCACCCCCGGGUGCAAGUAGAUAAAUAGGGACCGCUUACCAGCGGGAAGGUAAACGGCGUUCCGUGUGCUGCUCUGGUGCCGGUUCGCCGGAGCAGCUUCGUCACGCUGGCCACGUGACCCGGAAGUGUCUGCGGACAGCGCUGGCUCCUAUAGAGUGAGAUGAGCACACAACCCUAGAGUCUGUCAAGACUGGCCCGUACAGGCAGGGGUACCUUUACCUUUACCUUUUUAUGCAUUGAAUAUGCAUUAUAACACUGUGACACCAGAUGGCGUUGUGGAGUUCUGUUUUUGCCAAUCCAAUUUCUCAUACAAAGUUUACAACUCGUUAAACUGAAACACUUCUUUGAUGUGUCUACAUCUAGCCUAAGCAAGGGUUUCUGCCUAGCCUACUUCAGAGUUGGAGCAAAGCUGGUAAGUGAUGUGAUUAAUGACCAUUUUUAUAACUGGAGACAAGCAGUACAGUGGUACCUUGGGUUACAUACGCUUCUGGUUACAGACGCUUCAGGUUACAGACUCCACUAACCCAGAAAUAGUACCUCGGGUUAAGAACUUCAGGAUGAGAACAGAAAUCGCAUGGCAGCGGUGGCAGCGGGAGGGCCCAUUAGCUAAAGUGGUACCUCAGGUUAAGAACAGAUCUCCGGAACGAAUUACGUACUUAACCCAAGGUACCACUGUAUAUUUCAGUAGUAAGUGGCAGAAGUCUGCAGUGGGGCAAAGAUCUCCAGCCCUGGCAAGAUGAAAGUAUACUCACUUUCUCCUGUUGUUACUGCUUUUCUUACCUCUUCAGACUACUCUAAAGGAAGUCAUUCAAAAACAUGGCCAAGACCUAGAUUUGGUUAUGACUUUACACUUAGAAAAUGUAGUUGCUUAUAACAGGGCAGGGCAGAAGAAAAGCAAGCUGUGAGUAUGGGGUGGGCCCACUUUUUAUUUCUCUGGUGAGGCCCCUAUGUGCAGUUGUGUAACAGAUGGAACAGUUAUAACCUUUAUCAGUAUAAAGAUGUGAUGGCAGGGAUACUAUUCUUCUUGGUUCCAACACUGUUGGCCUGCUGUUAGUCCUAUUGUGGGAGAAGAAUGUAAAUGCUGUAGUCUAGUUGCUUUGGAUUUUAAACUGAAUAUAUUACUCACCAGCACUUGCUUUACCUCUACAUUUUCUGUUGCCAAAUACAAUAUUAAAAAACAGGCAAAGCCUAACCUGCCCAUGAUUUCUUACUAGCCUGGGAUACACACACAUUAGGUUGCUAACUGGCUCUUCCAAGCUGGAUUGAGUCGCUGAUUUCCAAACUAAGACUGCCUACUUUGCUUGGAUAGUCAGCCAGGAACCAACACAAGACAUUGCUGCCACUAGCAGAGAUGCUGUUUUGGAAACUUUUCAGUAAUGGUUUACUAUACUACCAUCUUCUUUCUGCCAGCAAGCCCCAUGAUAAGUUCAACCUGGAAAAAGUUUCUUCUAUUAUUUAUGAAAAUGUAUUUACCCUGAAACUUCCACUCCUAUGAGAUGUGUAGGGCAACUAAAAAAUUAGGUACAAAGUGAUCAAUCCAUUAAAACAGUUAAAAACACCAUUGAUCACUACCAGCAGCAGAAACAAAAACAAAAAAGCCAGUCAGAUCAACAAACUGGGGUAGUCAUAUUAGUGUUUCCAGAUAAUGUCUGUCUCCACAAAAAUGGCCUGCUCCUGAAAGGCCCCCCAAAAUUGUGGUAUGCAGGAUCUCCCAGAGCAGAGCAUCUGGACCACCACAGUUGUGUAGGUUUUGUUCCACACUCUCACUCUCCACAAUCUGGGUAGCACUGAUAAGAAGGCCUUAUUCAAAAUCCAUACCCUCCACACCCAGCAGGGUAGUAGACUGUGGAACAAACUACCCUGCAAUUGCCAUGGGGUGGAGUGGGGCAGAUUCUUGCGGAAGCACAUGGUAUUUUUACACAGCUGCUGUGGCUAGGAAGCCUAUGUGAAAAAGAGGACAGGACUCAUGCACGUUGAAUAGUUCUGUAGAGGAGGGGAUUUCAGCAGAUGGCAAGCUGCACCUGGUGAAAUUUCCCUUUCUGCUCAACUAUUAAAUGCUCUUGAGUCCUGCCCUUCUUUUCACAUAGCCACCCUAAUCAAAGCCCAGUUGUCUGACCACAUCUGGUCAAGAAGCAUUCUUGUGACCUAAGAAAAAUGGAGAAGCAUGUAUCAAUCACUCCCCGAAGAAGCAGAACCACCACAGACACAGAAAUAGGACAGACUUUGAAAAGCACUAAUCAUGUUCUUCAAUCAAUGCUUUAAUUGCUCUUUAUUUGUAUUUGGCUUCUCCUGCCUAACAGGCAGCAUUCGCUUCAGCCUAACAAAAGGGCUGUGCUCUAGAGAAUGUCUGAAGCCAUCAUUCAAAAAUCAGUGAAGAACAUUGAGUUUUGGGAUUAGAAGGGUCGGAGUGAAAAAUGAUUGAUCCCUUGCAGCUCUCCUGGGAGUGUCCAUGUUGCCGUAAACAAGAUAAAAGAAAGUUUAUCCCUGCAGAAUCACAUUUAAGGAAAAAAUUGAUUUCUGAACAAACUAGAUUAACAGGAAAAUCAUUAUCAGUAACUUAGAUAAGUUGCAAACACCAUUAACUUGAAUGGUUUUUUUAAAAGCUCACCUGAACUUUCACCACUUCCUGCCAUACCCUUAAUUAAUCUUCUCUCCUGUAAGCAUUGCUGGAAAUUUAAUUUGGAGAGGGAUAUGAUGAAGCUUAUGCAGCAUUUGCACUCUACACAUUUUUUUCCUCUUGGACAGAUUUUAUGGCAAACCAGUUCUGCUUUGCUGACUGGUUCAUUGUCAUAAUGAAAGUGAUAGGAUGGUGGGUGAGAUAAGGGAGCUUCAUUACCCUCUGCCAAUCCCGGCUGCACUGUUACACUAAUCUUACAGAGGUUGUAGAAAAGUGGCAUGGCUUUACUGAAUACCUGUGAAUUUAAGUAAAAGAUCCUGGAUAGUCAAUUUGUGCCUUGCAAAUGUUGGUGGACUCUCAUUAGCCCCAAUCAACCAGCAUGGCCAGUAGGAACACAGGAAGCCACCUUAGACUGAAUCAGACCUUUUGUCUCUCCAGUUUCCCUUCACACAUCCCUGACCAGCCCGCCUGCAUUGCUUCUGACUAUAUUAUCUAUAUUUUAAUCUGGUGACUGUCGUUUUGGCCUCUUGUUUCAGUGCCACUUUUCCUUGCUAAAAUCUCCCUCCCUUGCUCCAUCUCCCUCAAUUUAUUUCUCUCUCUCUCUUUUUUUUAAAAAUAAUAUUUAUUAAAAGUUUCAGAUUUACAG